GACGAACGCUGGCGGCGUGCUUAACACAUGCAAGUCGAACGGAAAGGCCCUGCUUUUGUGGGGUGCUCGAGUGGCGAACGGGUGAGUAACACGUGAGUAACCUGCCCUUGACUUUGGGAUAACUUCAGGAAACUGGGGCUAAUACCGGAUAGGAGCUCCUGCUGCAUGGUGGGGGUUGGAAAGUUUCGGCGGUUGGGGAUGGACGCGCGGCUUAUCAGCUUGUUGGUGGGGUAGUGGCUUACCAAGGCUUUGACGGGUAGCCGGCCUGAGAGGGUGACCGGCCACAUUGGGACUGCGAUACGGCCCAGACUCCUACGGGAGGCAGCAGUGGGGAAUCUUGCACAAUGGGCGGACGCCUGAUGCAGCAACGCCGCGUGCGGGAUGACGGCCUUCGGGUUGUAAACCGCUUUCGCCUGUGACGAAGCGUGAGUGACGGUAAUGGGUAAAGAAGCACCGGCUAACUACGUG
RNAcentral lists this ribosomal RNA (468 nucleotides) under uncultured bacterium. RNAcentral describes it as "partial 16S ribosomal RNA". It matches the Rfam family "Bacterial small subunit ribosomal RNA", at positions 28 to 507 of the family's 1533-position model. The record is from RNAcentral.